Molecule: ribosomal RNA, 448 nt
Filed under: uncultured bacterium
Lineage: Bacteria
Description: partial 16S ribosomal RNA
Rfam family: Bacterial small subunit ribosomal RNA
Source: RNAcentral
AACGAACGCUGGCGGCAUACCUAACACAUGCAAGUCGAACGAGAUCUUCGGGUCUAGUGGCGCACGGGUGCGUAACGCGUGGGAAUCUGCCCUUUGGUUCGGAAUAACAGUUGGAAACGACUGCUAUACCGGAUGAUGACGAAAGUCCAAAGAUUUAUCGCCAGAGGAUGAGCCCGCGUAGGAUUAGCUAGUUGGUGUGGUAAAGGCGCACCAAGGCGACGAUCCUUAGCUGGUCUGAGAGGAUGAUCAGCCACUCUGGGACUGAGACACGGCCCAGACUCCUACGGGAGGCAGCAGUGGGGAAUAUUGGACAAUGGGCGAAAGCCUGAUCCAGCAAUGCCGCGUGAGUGAUGAAGGCCUUAGGGUUGUAAAGCUCUUUUACCCGGGAUGAUAAUGACAGUACCGGGAGAAUAAGCUCCGGCUAACUCCGUGCCAGCCGCCGCCGUAA